RNAcentral lists this ribosomal RNA (481 nucleotides) under uncultured bacterium. RNAcentral describes it as "bacterial SSU rRNA". It matches the Rfam family "Bacterial small subunit ribosomal RNA", at positions 44 to 507 of the family's 1533-position model. The record is from RNAcentral.
AGGUACUUAAUACAUGCAAGUCGGAGGGGGCAGCUAGUGGUGUAGCAAUACACUGAGUGGCGACCGGCGAAACGGGUGACGGAACACGUACAGAACCUUCCUUCGAGGCGGGGAAUAGCCCAGAGAAAUUUGGAUUAAUACCCCAUAGUACAUUGAGGCGGCAUUCGUUUUAAUGUUAAAGAUUUAUCACUUGAAGAUGGCUGUGCGGCUGAUUAGGUAGUUGGCGGGGUAACGGCCCACCAAGCCUGCGAUCAGUAACUGGUGUGAGAGCACGACCAGUCACACGGGCACUGAGACACGGGCCCGACUCCUACGGGAGGCAGCAGUAAGGAAUAUUGGUCAAUGGACGAAAGUCUGAACCAGCCAUGCCGCGUGGAGGAUGAAGGUCCUCUGGAUUGUAAACUUCUUUUAUAUGGGACGAAAAAAGGGCUUUCUAGCUCGUCUGACGGUACCAUAUGAAUAAGCACCGGCUAACUCCGUG